GGCGAGGUGCCAGAGUGGUCGAUUGGGGUCGCCUGCUAAGCGAUUAUGCGGGUUAAAACCGCAUCAAGGGUUCGAAUCCCUUCCUUCCCG
This 90-nucleotide transfer RNA is filed under the name Anaerolineae bacterium. RNAcentral's name for it is "tRNA-Ser". It matches the Rfam family "tRNA". Rfam says of the family: Transfer RNA (tRNA) molecules are approximately 80 nucleotides in length. Their secondary structure includes four short double-helical elements and three loops (D, anti-codon, and T loops). Lineage: Bacteria; Bacillati; Chloroflexota; Anaerolineae. The record is from RNAcentral.